Molecule: ribosomal RNA, 253 nt
Filed under: uncultured Coprococcus sp.
Lineage: Bacteria; Bacillati; Bacillota; Clostridia; Lachnospirales; Lachnospiraceae
Description: partial 16S ribosomal RNA
Rfam family: Bacterial small subunit ribosomal RNA
Source: RNAcentral
UACGGAGGAUCCGAGCGUUAUCCGGAUUUAUUGGGUUUAAAGGGAGCGUAGGCGGUUCAGCAAGUCAGAAGUGAAAGCCCGGGGCUCAACUCCGGGACUGCUUUUGAAACUGUUGAACUAGAUUGCAGGAGAGGUAAGUGGAAUUCCUAGUGUAGCGGUGAAAUGCGUAGAUAUUAGGAGGAACACCAGUGGCGAAGGCGGCUUACUGGACUGUAAAUGACGCUGAGGCUCGAAAGCGUGGGUAUCGAACAGG